UCUUGCUCUUGCUCCUUCGCCUGCUUGCUGUGUGAGACUGAGUAACUGCUAGAUCCUUGGACUUCACAGCUGCGACUGAACAAUUGUUGGGAAUUGGGCUGCCGACUAUUCUCUUACCUAGCCUCGGCUUUCUGUCCCAAAGUUCCCGGGUACCAAGACCAGCUUCGAGAACGCCUUAAAGAGACAGAUGGACUACCGCUCUCGGUGUUGCACCUGGCAGACAAUAUUAUCAUAUUUGGAGUCAUUUUCUCAUAACAAGAAUGAACUUCAGAAGAAGAAACUGUAUAUCAGCAGACCCAAGGACAUCCUCCUCUCUGGCUAGACGCCUGCAACCAUCACCGCACCACCCAGCUUGUGAGGAUCCCUCUGCCCACUGGCAGGUCCCAUUCUCCCCCAGCCAGGAUCCAUGCUACCACAAACUGGCUUUCGCUCUCUACAGAUUGUUCUUCACCAGACAUUUGGAACUGAGGGAUUGGUCACAUCUCUCAAUGGCCUCUCCACGGCUCUGUGCUCUGAUCAUCUCCUAGUGGCACGCGUUUGUUACUGCUCGCUUGUCCCACCCUGUGCCACACUUGUAGCCUUUGGGAUGCAUGAACAGACCACAAGCCUACAUUGUCCCUAAGGUUGAGAAUGUGACAGAGCAUGCAGCGCUCCCUUCAGCAUGGUGAGACCCACAGCAGACAUGUCCCCAUUUUGCUGUAACACAGG
Molecule: long non-coding RNA, 708 nt
Filed under: Mus musculus (house mouse)
Lineage: Eukaryota; Metazoa; Chordata; Mammalia; Rodentia; Muridae
Description: predicted gene, 49236
Source: RNAcentral